AUACGGAGGGUGCAAGCGUUGUUGGGAAUUACUGGGCGUAAAGCGCGUGCAGGCGGUAAGGUAAGUCAGAUGUGAAAGCCCCGGGCUCAACCCGGGAAGUGCAUUUGAUACUGCCUUUCUUGAGUAUGGGAGAGGAGAGUGGAAUUCCCGGUGUAGAGGUGAAAUUCGUAGAUAUUGGGAGGAACACCCGUGGCGAAGGCGACUCUCUGGACCAAUACUGACGCUGAGACGCGAAAGCGUGGGUAGCAAACAGGAUUAGAAACCCCGGUAGUCC
Molecule: ribosomal RNA, 274 nt
Filed under: uncultured bacterium
Lineage: Bacteria
Description: partial 16S ribosomal RNA
Rfam family: Bacterial small subunit ribosomal RNA
Source: RNAcentral